UACUACCAAUGGAACAUCAAUGGAAUUCGUGAAAACAUUUUAGAUUUACAAAGUAUAUAAUUUAAUUUACACAACACACUAUGCACUCAUUAUUAAAUUGUUGGAAGUUCAAUAUGCACUACACACUAUGCAGUCUUUGUAUCAUCAAUCGAACCUCUCACUCCCACUCCCAACUUCACUAUUUCUGAUUCCCUUCUUCCUCCAAUAUUAGAGCCAACGUCACCGCCGUUGCAGCUUAUGUUCCAUUCUGUUCUUCAUUUCACCACCUUCGUCCCCAACUCCACCACCGUUGCAUCUUCUGUCCAGUUCUGUAUAGCACGGGAAGAAGUUCCCCACUGCCGUCCCAAAUUUCUCCACUGCCGUUGCAGAGUCUAAUCGGUUAUGUAGAGCACGGUAAUAAAUUCCCCACCGUCAUCACAGAGUGCCAACAAGGACGAAUAAAUGACUUGUGAUCCUAUGGUUGCUCUGUUGAACUCACAAUUAUCUUGAUUGGUCGGAGUAUUUUCAGAUGUUAAGCAACAAUUUCUUUUAGCUUUUAUCAUGUAGUAAUCUGGAGUUUAAAACAUCAUUAAACUCAAAUACUAUUUUUUUAGGUUUGCAACAUGUUAAAAAACUCUUUGUUGUU
Molecule: long non-coding RNA, 625 nt
Organism: Lathyrus oleraceus (garden pea)
Lineage: Eukaryota; Viridiplantae; Streptophyta; Magnoliopsida; Fabales; Fabaceae
Exons: 2
Source: RefSeq, a predicted model, not a curated record